CUGGCUUGCAGGAGGAGCAGCCACCAAUGGGAAGGAUGGAGUUAAAUUCCAUAGAGGUGUACAGAGCGGAGAUGGGGCAGGCAGCUCUGCAGAUGAAGAUGUCUCACGAGCAGCACGUCGGACCUGAACGCGUGUUUGUGUGGUUCCCCUGCCACCAGCACAACGGGAGCUACACGGCGGCCAGCCAUGCAGAGCCAACAAGAAAAGCCUGCUGAAGAAAGGCACCGGCACUGACAAUACCCGUUUGCAGGACGGAUUAAGCUUAGAGCAGUGUCUGGGCUUUGUGAAGGGGCAGCUCUGAGCUCCGUGCACGCAGCGUGGUGGCAGAAGGCUACAAAAGCUGGGAUCCCACACAGCCCUAUUGCCAAGCAGGGCUAACCCGGCCCGUGCGAGGCUCAGUCCCCAUCACUGCCAGGACCUGCCACCUCCUGCCCUGCCCUGCCCUCUCCCAGUGC
Molecule: long non-coding RNA, 455 nt
Filed under: Gallus gallus (chicken)
Lineage: Eukaryota; Metazoa; Chordata; Aves; Galliformes; Phasianidae
Description: long non-coding RNA NONGGAT003137
Source: RNAcentral